Molecule: long non-coding RNA, 625 nt
Filed under: Capsicum annuum
Lineage: Eukaryota; Viridiplantae; Streptophyta; Magnoliopsida; Solanales; Solanaceae
Description: long non-coding RNA (CANN_LNC016584)
Source: RNAcentral
AUUGGCACAUCUGCGUUACUUUCUUUCUUCCUUAUCAUGUAUAACUCAAGUCCUGUUCUUAUCUCUUAUGGUAUGUCCACACAUUCAUCUAAACAUUCUCAUUUCUGUUAUCUGCAUCUUCUGAACAUGUGCGUUGUUGACUGGCCAACUCUCUAUUCCAUGCAACAAUGUAAGUCUAACCACCAUCGAAUAGAACUGACCUUUAUGGUGACACAUUCUUAUUAUAAAGAACCUUGAACCCGAGCUUCCAUUUUACUCACCACACUUCAAUACAUUAUAUGAUAUCAUCGCUAAUCUCUCGAUUAUUUGAAUUAUAGACUCAAUAUACUUAAUGCUGCCUCUGAUAUGACUUGUUUAAAGGUAUAUCUUCAAACUUUCAACCUAUCAUUAGAUCAAUAUUAUGUCCGUUUCGUUCUUCUUCUGUACUGUCGCUUACCCGAUGGGACCAACUUUCCCAAAUGCCCCCCACCGGCAUCUGCCGAUAAUUACCGUGUGAAGUGGUCAUUACGCACUGUCUUAUAAGUCAGUCAAUGAAAGUAUAACAAAGCAAUACAUUUUCUUUCUUCUUCUGACCAUUACUACUCCAAUCCAUAAUUAAUGUCAUUGAAAUUUUAAUACUUCAAAU